This 507-nucleotide ribosomal RNA is filed under the name Phoma sp. Its description in RNAcentral is "eukaryotic LSU rRNA". The stretch from base 157 to 310 matches the Rfam family "5.8S ribosomal RNA". Lineage: Eukaryota; Fungi; Ascomycota; Dothideomycetes; Pleosporales; Didymellaceae. The record is from RNAcentral.
GCGGAAGGAUCAUUACCUAGAGUUGUAGGCUUUGCCUGCUAUCUCUUACCCAUGUCUUUUGAGUACCUUACGUUUCCUCGGUGGGUUCGCCCACCGAUUGGACAAAUUUAAACCCUUUGCAGUUGAAAUCAGCGUCUGAAAAAACUUAAUAGUUACAACUUUCAACAACGGAUCUCUUGGUUCUGGCAUCGAUGAAGAACGCAGCGAAAUGCGAUAAGUAGUGUGAAUUGCAGAAUUCAGUGAAUCAUCGAAUCUUUGAACGCACAUUGCGCCCCUUGGUAUUCCAUGGGGCAUGCCUGUUCGAGCGUCAUUUGUACCUUCAAGCUCUGCUUGGUGUUGGGUGUUUGUCUCCUGUAGACUCGCCUCAAAACAAUUGGCAGCCGGCGUAUUGAUUUCGGAGCGCAGUACAUCUCGCGCUUUGCACUCAUAACGACGACAUCCAAAAGUACAUUUUUACACUCUUGACCUCGGAUCAGGUAGGGAUACCCGCUGAACUUAAGCAUAUCA